Molecule: ribosomal RNA, 443 nt
Filed under: uncultured bacterium
Lineage: Bacteria
Description: partial 16S ribosomal RNA
Rfam family: Bacterial small subunit ribosomal RNA
Source: RNAcentral
CCUACGGUGGGCAGCAGUGGGGAAUAUUGGGCAAUGGGCGCAAGCCUGACCCAGCAACGCCGCGUGAAGGAAGAAGGCCCUCUGGUUGUAAACUUCUUUUAUCAAGGACGAAACAAAUGACGGUACUUGAUUAAUAAGCCACGUCUAACUACGUGCCAGCAGCCGCGGUAAUACGUAGGUGGCAGUCGUUAUCCGGAUUUACUGGGUGUAAAGGGAGUGUAGGCGGGACUGGAAGUCAGAUGUGAAAGCCAUGGGCUCAACCCAUAGACUGCAUUUGAAACUGUAGUUCUUGAGUUUUGGAGAGGCAGGCGGAAUUCCGGGUGUAGCGGUGAAAUGCGUAGAUAUAAGGAGGAACACCAGUGGCGAAGGCGGCCUGCUGGACAAUGACUGACGCUGAGGCGCGAAAGCGUGGGGAGCAAACAGGAUUAGAUACCCUUGUAGUC